Equus asinus (donkey) is the source of this 6271-nucleotide long non-coding RNA. The record is from Ensembl. NCBI's taxonomy places the organism in Eukaryota, Metazoa, Chordata, Mammalia, Perissodactyla, Equidae.
UAAACCUGGGUAUUUCAUUUGAUACAAAGUCAAAUUGUGCAGAGAUGUGAUAGGACAAAGAGUGUGGGCUCAGUGCAGUAAACCGGGAGAAACUUAGCAAGGCCUGUUCCUCCAGAUUCCUCUCUGCGUCCCUUGAUCUUAGGAGAUAAGAUGCUCCUUUCCUCCGGGUACAGGAGGGCACCUUAAUGAGAGUUUAUGACCCGCUUCAAGAGAAGGUCAGAAAGUCCUUCCUGUACAUGAUGUUUCUCAAAUUCCUCCAGCUUGAAAUAGUCAAUAUGCAAAGGUGCCACAUCUUGGGGUAACGUGUCCUGAACCCCAUCAUGCAAAACCAGUUAUGCUGGGCUGAAACCAAGUCGUUGGUAGUUUGCACUCCCCUAGAGGCUUAGAGGCCAUAUCACUCUGUCUGUGGGGUCACCUUGCUCUUCCUCCUCUGUGUGUAGAACAUAGCCCUCUGCUUCUCUCUCAGAAGGACACUUGCGACUAGAUUUAGGGACCAACCCAGGUAAUCUAGGAUCACCUCCACCGGUCAAGAUCCUUACCUUAAUCACAUCUGCAAAGACCAUUCUCCCUUAUAAGGGAACAAUUACAGGGUCCAGGGAUUAUGACCUGGGUAUCUUUGGGUGGUUGCUCUUCCCAUGUGACCUUUUACCCUUGAAUGCCCCCAUCUGGCCUCCAGACUUUCUCCCCUUAAUCUUCUUUGCUCUGCUCUUCCUUCUCCUGACACAUGGGUAACCCCUGGUAAAAGUGUUUAAUGCCACUAUAAAAAGACGAAAAUUUACAGACUUGGAGAAUAUAUCUGCAAAUAUGUAUCUGAUGGAUGAUUUGCAUCUAGGAUACAUUAAGGACUAGCAAAAAAAAUUAGUAAACAAACAAAAAUAAGAGAGACCGGUUUUAUAUAUAUAUAUUUUAAAAACCAACCACUUAUCAACAUAAAAACAAGUACCUGUAUAUAAGAAUUGGCCAGGGAUUUUAGUAGACAUUUUUCUAAAUAUAUAAAUGCCCAACAAACACAUGAAAAGAAAAUCAACAUUAGUAAUAUUAGAGAAAUGCAAACCAUGACCACACAGUGAGGAACCCCUUCACACUCAUUAGAGUUGAUAUUUAAAAUGAAAAACCCAAAGGAGAAAUAAGCAGUGUUGGUGAGGAUGCAGAGAAAUGGAACUCCUGUGCUUUGCUUUUGAGAUUGCAAAAUGGGGCAUCUGCUAUGGAAAACAGAAUGGCAACUCCUCAAAAAAUUAAAAAUAGAAUUACCAUAAUAUCCAAUAAUUUCACUUGUGGGUGUGUAACCAAAGAAUCAAAAGCAGCAACUCGAAUAGAUGUAGGUACAUGCUUGCUCAUGACACAAUAAUGAACAUGUGGAAACAACCCAGGGGUCCAUCGACAGAGGAAUGGAUUAACGAAGUAACGAAAACACAGACAAUGAAACAUUACUCAGCCUUAAAGAAGAAGGAAAUUCUGACACAUGCCUCAGUGUGGAUUGAAGACAUUGUGCUUAGUGAAGUAAGCCAGUCACUAAAGGACAAAUACUGUAGAUACCAAUUAACGAAGUAUCUAGAGUAGGAAAAUUCAUAGACGCACAGCAAACAGAAUGGUGGCGGCCAGGGUCUGGGGCAGGGGAAAUGGAGAGUUAUUCAUUUAAUGGGUGCAGUUUCAGCUUGGGAAGAUUUGAAAAGUUCUGGAAAUGGAUGGUGAUGUUUGUUGCAUAGCAAUGUGAACUUACUUAAUGCCGCUGACCUGAACACUUAAGAAGGGUUAAAAUGGUAGUUUUGUUAUGUAUCUUUAACCAUAAUAAUAACAAAAACAGCCAAAGAUUUAAUCAUCCACUUCACCAAAGAAGAAAAACAGACGACAAAUGAGCACUUGAAAACAUCUCAGCAUCACUUGUCAUUAGGAAAUUACAGACUAAAACCAGGAUGAGAAACACACCUAUUAGGAUAACUAGAAAACUAAAUAAAAAGAAAAAGAAAAUGAAAUUCUGACAAUAGCAAAUGCUAAUGAGGAUGUGGAACAGCCAGAACUCACACGCGCUACUGGUGGGAGCACCAGGGUACAGACACUUUGGAGAACAGAUUGCAAUUUCAUAUAAAGUUAAACCUACGGUUAUCAUAAUAUUGGGCAAUCUGACACCCAGGUAUUUACCCUGGAGAAAUAAGAAUGUAUAUUCCCACAAAAUCUGCAGGUGAAUAUUUAUAGAAUUUCAUUCAUAGUUGCCCCAAACCUGGAAACAACCCAAAUGUUCUUCAGCUGGCAAGUGUAUACAAAAUGGGGCACAUUGAAACAAUGGAGUAUCAGCCAGCAAUUAAAAGGAACAAAUUAUUGAUACACACACUCAAUAACCUGGACAACUGUCAAAUGCAUUGCUAAAGGUGAAUGAAGCCAGACUACAUUUUGCUGAUUCCAUUUCUACAACAUUCUGUAAACAGCAAAACAAGAGGGAUGGAGAACAGAAACAGCGUUUCUUCUAGGGUUAUGGGUAGAGGGAGGAUUUGGCUCCCCAGAGACAGCACGAGAGAACGUCUUGGCUAACGGCUGUCUUCAGGAUCUUUCGUGGUUGUGGGUACAUAGUGAAAUACCUCUGUCAAGCCGCACAGAACUGUAUAUAAAAAGUGAACCUCACUGUGCCUAAACUUGAAAUAAAUUAAAAAUCAAAACCCACAAUUACAUAUCGCUACACUCCCAAUAGAAUUAUUAAAGUUUACAAAACUGACAAUACCAAGUGUUAAAACAUGUGAAACUGCUGGAAUUCUGGCACAUUAGAGUCAGGAGUAAAGGUUAAAACCAUUCUGGACAACAAUUUGGGAAUUCCUCCUAAAGUUAAACAUGUGGUUACUCUUGGAUCUAACAAUUCCACUUGCAUGCACUCAGGAGGAUGAAAAUAUGUCCAUAAAAAGAACUAUGCCUCAAUAUUUAUUAUCAAAAAUCUCAAAUGUCUUUCAACAGGUGAUUAAAUAAAAGAUUACAGUACACCCACAUAAUGGAAUACUACUCAGUAAUCAGAGAUUAUGAACUACAGAUACAUACGACUUGAUCCGUUUCAAAAUGGUAUGCUGAGUGAGAGAAUCUAGACACCAUGAGUCCAUUUCUAGGGAAUUCUGAAAUAGACAAAACUAAUUCACUGAGGUGGAGAGUAUGUCAAUUGCUACCUGAGCUGGAAGUGGGAGUGAUGAGCUGUAAAUAGGUCUGGGAAAACCUUUUGAGUAGUGGAAACGUUCUGUCUUGUCUCCUGAUUGUGGAGUCGUAACUGGGAUGUACCUUUGUCAAAAUUCAUAGAUGUAACUUUCAAGUGGGAACUUUUUAUUUGACUUGAAUUAUAAAGUUCAUUAAAGGAAAACAAUAAGAACUCAUUGAACUUUCCAGUCCAUGAACACAGUAUACAUUUCUUGACUGUGGAAUCAACUGUAUUGGGGUUAUGUGCCACACUCUUACAUUUCUUAAUAAUCUAGAACUAGUAUUAUUAUACUUAUUAGAAACUCACUGCCUCAUAGAUCAAAUGAGAGUACAAAAUCUCUCUCUGUUAUUAAGGUUGAAGGAACAGUUAUCUAGACAGUCCUGUAUCUGAAAGAUUUUACAAACUGCUGGUGGCAAAUGCAUUUAUGUCACAGGUGUCAAGGACGUCCCAGAAGAAUAUGACACAGAGUGAAAGGCAAAACCUCAUGAGCUGAACCUAAAAUCUUAAUUAUAGCUGUAGUUUCCACUCAAGUUUCCUGGAAAUAUUACACCUUGUGAGCCACAUGUAACUUUAAAAAGAUGUUUUACAUGACAGGAAAUGCUAAUCUGUAUGAUGAGGACCUAAAAAAAUUCACCCUAGUCCACACAACACUGAACAAUACCAUUCAGGAGAAAGAAGUUUCCUCUGCCCUGGCUCCUAGAACAUGUGUCCUGUCUUUUGUUUUACAGGAAAAUGCUACAUGAUUUUUAUUUUGGAGAUGCUGUUAUAAUUUCGUGAAUCAGCAUACUAGAAGUGAAAAAAAAAUCUAAAGCCCAUAUUCAUAUUUUGGAAAACACCCCACAUACUGCCAGGAUCCACAGCAAACUCACCAGUGACCGAGCUCUAAAGGCUAACAGCUGAGUGUCUGGGGAGGAAACGACUCCACUGGGUGGGGAGCAUACCAUGGGUGUGGACAAGCUGGGUCAGCUCCCCUCUUGUCUCCAGCCUCCUCAACACAGAGAUGCUCAAUAAACGUUUGGGGAAUGAAUGAAUGAAUGAAUGAAUGAAUGAAUGCUUGGCUGAUGCCUCACGUCACCUAGAAUCCCUUUCUUUCCUUCUGUCCUGGAUGCUCACACAGACUUUAAAGAAUCCUACACCUGGCAGGACAGGCCACUUGGGUUCUUGAUGAGGCUGUGACCCUCCAGGGUCAAGCAGGAGCUACCAGCUCCCUGGUGUAGACAGCAGGGCUCAAAGAAGCACCCCACAUGGGAGGCCCUUAGAGACUCACCAUCUCCCACUGCUCAGAUGUCCUCAGAGGUCCUGGUCCAGGCUCCAGUGCUGGAUGGAAGCCCCAAGAUGGGGAGAGGACACGGGGUCUGCUCCUUGUUUACUGCCCUCUUCUCGGGGGUCUCUGGGCCCUGGAGAGUCUCCCCACUCCGUGCAGAGGGUGGAUGAGCUCAGGCCUGUGGUUCCUCUUCUGUGAAUGGCAUAGCUCACAUGCUCCUCCGCACCUUCCUGUAGGUCCCCCAGCAGGGCCAGCUCCCGCUCAUCUUCCCCGUCUCUUUUCUGACACAAGCCAAAAGCACAGAACCCUCCAUCUCAGAGAUGCUGCUGCUGCCCCUGCUGUUAGAGAGGGGCUGGGUGCAGCAGGGGCUGUGGCUGACCCUCAUUUCCUGGCAGGGUCCCUGGCUCAGUAUGACAGACACUGGUUGGAAGUGCAGGAAACUGUGACUCUGCAGGAGGGCAUGUGCGUCUCUGUGCCCUGCACCUUCUCCUAUCCCUGGUACUAUUGGACUGACUCUGCCCCAGCUCAUGGCUACUGGUUCCAGAGGGGCCAAAUCCAUGCCAGGAUGCCCGAGCGGCCACAAACGACCCAGUUCGUAAAGUGUGGGAGGAGACCCAGGGCCGAUUCCACCUGCUCAGGGACCCCAGGACUACAACGGCUCCCUGGACAUCAGAGAUGCCACAAGGAGUGACAACAGAAGAUACUUUUUUGGGUGGAGAGAAAUUACAAAUCUAGCCACCUCUCUGCGCAUGCGACAGCCUCAGAAGAGUGACCUGUGACAAAGACUCUGGUGUCUCCCAUCAGAGUGAAGACCUGCAGGAAGAAAGCAGCCAGGAAAGCAGUUGACAGGAAUGACAUUAAUCCUGCAAUCUGGCCAGCUUUGUUGUGGACACCAUGACCUCACCGCCCUGGCUGCUGCCUCAUGCCUGGAGUAGCACUGUGUUCAUACUGAGACUGACCACCGUGGAGUGGACAGGAAAGGUGGGAUCAUCUCUCAGCCUUCGGAAGGACUGAGACGUGAAGCUGAGUGAGGCUCAUCCCAGCUCUGAUGGAACACCCCUUUGGAUACUCCAGUUCCUUCCCAGACUGCAGGCUCCCUGAGGAAGCUCCUGAGAUGUCUUCCUGGAAACAUGAUGUUGAUGAAGGGACCUUGGCAGGAGGGAGCCAGGGUCCCCUGUGUAGGACAGUAAGGAGCAACAUUAGCUGCAGAGCUCAUGGGGUGGCUCAGUUACCAGCCCCUUUUCCAAAAGAGGAAGAGGAGGAGGAGGAAGAGGAGGAGGAGAUGAUAUGUUGGAGGAAUUCAGACUUAGACUUCUUUGGACCCUCGAGCUGAAGGAUGAAGAACUGACCGAGGGGCUGGCCAGGGGCUGCAGCCAGGUCUGGAAGCAGACUCCCUGUAUGCUGACACCAGCAUCUUCAGCUCUGAUCUUGCUCUCUGGAGCUUGUACCAGGUACCCCACCACCUUCAUCUGAAGUGCAACCAUCUUGGAGCCUAAAUAGCACUAUGUCAGCUGCUUGUGUAAGAGGAUGCUUCUCCCUCCUACUGGGUCCCAAGCCCCCCGCCCCAUUCCUAAGUACCUACCCAUAUGGUAGGGUCAAGGUCAUGAGCCCAGCCCUGCUUGCCUGGUGAGCUUCCUAGGGGGUGGUGGGUCUAUGGAUAGACUCAUUGGAGGAGUUCAGCCCAAAGACAAAAAAUUAUGUGAUUUUUCAGGCCUGAUCACAGGCAAAUAAAAAGGCUUUUCCUGGCUGUCCUCAUGGGGAAGCUGUCCUCCACGCACUCUUGACUCUCCAGGAGCUGGACUGCUGGGACCUGCUUCUCCAGUGCAUAUGAUUUUGCA